GUCGCCGGCCGGAUGGUCGCGAUGUCUGGGCGCAAGUUCAGGCACCGAGGAAAGUCCGGGCUCCACAGGGUAGACUGCCAGGUAACGCCUGGGCGCAUGCGGCGUGAGCUUCGUGCGACGGACAGUGCAACAGAAAGCAAACCGCCGUCUCAUCGGGCAACUGAUGUGGCGGUAAGGGUGAAAGGGUGGGGUAAGAGCCCACCGCGCCUUCGGUAACGAAGGUGGCUCGGUAAACCCCAGUCGGAGCAAGGCCAAAUAAGCGGCGAGAGACGACCCGUCUCGCAAGGACGUCGCAAGACGUCGAGCCGCGGGUAGGCUGCUGGAGCGUGUGGGUGACUGCACGCCGAGAGGAAUGACCGUCCGGUGUUGGUGUACGCUUGCGUAUGUCAGCACUGACAGAACCCGGCUUAUAGGCCGGCGACUUUC
RNAcentral lists this RNase P RNA (426 nucleotides) under Gemmatimonas groenlandica. RNAcentral describes it as "Bacterial RNase P class A". It matches the Rfam family "Bacterial RNase P class A". Rfam says of the family: Ribonuclease P (RNase P) is a ubiquitous endoribonuclease, found in archaea, bacteria and eukarya as well as chloroplasts and mitochondria. Its best characterised activity is the generation of mature 5'-ends of tRNAs by cleaving the 5'-leader elements of precursor-tRNAs. Cellular RNase Ps are ribonucleoproteins. The record is from Rfam by way of RNAcentral. Lineage: Bacteria; Pseudomonadati; Gemmatimonadota; Gemmatimonadia; Gemmatimonadales; Gemmatimonadaceae.